AGAGUUUGAUCAUGGCUCAGGACGAACGCUGGCGGCGUGCCUAACACAUGCAAGUCGAACGGGGUCCAACCGGUGGCAACACUGGUGAAGACCUAGUGGCGAACGGGUGAGUAGCACGUGAGCAACCUGCCCCGAAGACCGGGACAACACCGGGAAACCGGUGCUAAUACUGGAUGCCCCCACCGGGCCGCAUGACCUGG
Molecule: ribosomal RNA, 200 nt
Filed under: uncultured bacterium
Lineage: Bacteria
Description: partial 16S ribosomal RNA
Rfam family: Bacterial small subunit ribosomal RNA
Source: RNAcentral